CAGCCCGUUCCCCUCCCCACCCAUGCCAUCGCCGCCGGAGCCACCCACCGCCCCGCCUCCCUCACACAGACCUCGCCGCCGGCCAUGGCCUUCCCCAACAGCCGCCGCUCCGACUCUCUCCUCCACCCCUCACCUUAUCACAAGAGAAGAGAAGAGAAGAGGGAGGGAAAUCGAUCGCGACCGAGCAGGUCAGGCGGCGACAAUGGCGCGCCCAGACCCGCCAGCGCCGUCGUCGUCGAGCUGGGCUGGGCGGCGCAGUCCGGUAGAGUAGGAAUGAGGGGGCGGUGGGACGCCUCCCCUGCUCGAGCAGCUCCAAGCGAGCGACCACAGCGCCGGAUCCACCUCCACAACCACCCACCGGCGGCCACGGAAGGUCAGGGACCUUCGUCCGGUCCGUGUGCUUCUUCUCCAUGGAGCUCCGACACCGUAGCAGCCGCAUCCAUGGAAGUGCCGACGCCAUGGACCUCGUCAAUCGUGGUUUGCUGCUGCCGCCAACCGUUUCCCUGACAAACACCAAAGCCACCAUUGUCAAAGUCGCCGUUGGCCGGCGUUGCCACUGGUCGCUGCUCCACGCAUCUUGUCGGUGCUGCGAGGCGAUGCCAUCUGCAUCUGUUGCUGCAGCCUGGGAGGUGGCAGGGUCUCCAGGUGAUGCCCUCUUUGCUGCCCAAUCGUUGAAGAUGCCAUAGGACGAGAUCCUCUGCUGCUGCUGUGUCUGGUGGUUGAAGAAGGGGUGUGCUGGGAAGAGGAGGCAGUGUUAAGAGUGCUCGAUCUGGAACAGGACGAGCUUGGGUUGCAUCGGCUCUGGUUCUCAACCUCCAACAUGAGUCCCUUUGUUCCAUGCCUCGAAUGCCACGAGUCAUCAUGGGCACUGCAGAUGCGGAGGAGUUUUUCCGGGGCGAUCUGCUUGUUCCCGGCCGCGCUGGUGUCAACUACCUCGAGCCACUAUGACCAUCCCAACCACGCUCACCCCCCUGAAUGAAUUGUUUGUGGAUCUGCAAAGGGGGAUUCAAUUAAUUUUCAGUUGUAGAAAAGGGAGAAGGGGGAUUCAAUUAAUUUUCCUCCUCAAGAUCAAAGAAACAAAAUCUUUGUGGCGAUGAUAGAAGGGGUUCACGACUUCACGUUAAUACACAGACUAUUGGUAGCUCAUGGCGAGUUAUGCGUGAGCCGUCUCGAUCCUUUUGCUAUGUUAUUAUAUUUUAGCCAUGAAGGAUUUACUGCUUGUCAGUUCGUAGUGGUUCUGGCUGUUUGUUGAACUUCUGGUCUUGCUUGUGCUAUUUUUUUUAUUGUUUAGAUGGCUCAAUUUACUUCCAAUUUUACUCUUGAGUUUUCCAAUGCAUGCAUACUCUUAUACCCCUCCUACUUGCUUGUUGGUUCUAUGCUCUGCCUUUGUGAGGUGUAAUUGUUCAAUUUUGUUCAUAUUUGAGCAUUGGAUGAUAUUGUAUUUGUCAUGAUGUACAUGGUUCAUGAACUAUGCCAACCUGCAGCUUUCUUGUACUAGUGAUAGUAGGAUAAUGCAAGUUUUGACAAUCCAUGCAUAUUUCCGCAUCAUAAUAAUCUUCUUCUUCUAGUCUUCUUCUAGUCUUCUUCUUCUAACUUUCUUCUUUCCCAUU
Long non-coding RNA from Triticum dicoccoides, 1610 nucleotides. RefSeq lists it as uncharacterized. The transcript is spliced from 6 exons. The record is from RefSeq and is a predicted model, not a curated record. NCBI's taxonomy places the organism in Eukaryota, Viridiplantae, Streptophyta, Magnoliopsida, Poales, Poaceae.